This 566-nucleotide small RNA is filed under the name Pan troglodytes (chimpanzee). RNAcentral's name for it is "retained intron". Lineage: Eukaryota; Metazoa; Chordata; Mammalia; Primates; Hominidae. The record is from RNAcentral.
GCAUGCGCGUGGCGGGCGGGCGGCCGGAGGCGGGUGGGUCAAGGUAGCUCUGGGCUACAGGAUCCUUGCUGGGGGUUCGGGGAGCGCUUGGACCCCGGCUUCUGAGACGCGUCAGGAGAAGGGAGCACUGGCUUUGCUUUCAUCAGGCCAAAGAUGCCUUUCUUUGGGAAUACGUUCAGUCCGAAGAAGACACCUCCUCGGAAGUCGGCCUCUCUCUCCAACCUGCAUUCUGUGAGUGUCAGUACUGGGGUCGGCCGGGUGUGCAGCAUGAGUUGAGUGCUGAGCGUGUCUCUGAAUGGAAAGUGUGGUCCUCCAGAGGCAUCGGUGCAGGAGGGCAUCCUUUCCGUCCAUAUCAUUGCUAUUGCGGAAAACAUUUUUGAACUCUUGUUUGGGAAUGAUCGUCAGAGCUUGUUUAUCCAAGAACCUAAGAAGACGAUCUCAUUAUGAUAUUUGACCCCAAAUAUCCAAAUUUUUUUUUUCUUUUUUGAGAUGGAGUCUCGCUCCCGUCCCACAGGCUAGGGUGCAGUGGCGCGAUCUCGACUCACUGCAACCUCCACCUCCCGGGU